UGGAAGUAAAAGUCGUAACAAGGUUUCCGUAGGUGAACCUGCGGAAGGAUCAUUAGUGAAUAUAGGACGUCCAACUUAACUUGGAGUCCGAACUCUCACUUUCUAACCCUGUGCACUUGUUUGGGAUAGUAACUCUCGCAAGAGAGCGAACUCCUAUUCACUUAUAAACACAAAGUCUAUGAAUGUAUUAAAUUUUAUAACAAAAUAAAACUUUCAACAACGGAUCUCUUGGCUCUCGCAUCGAUGAAGAACGCAGCGAAAUGCGAUAAGUAAUGUGAAUUGCAGAAUUCAGUGAAUCAUCGAAUCUUUGAACGCACCUUGCGCUCCAUGGUAUUCCGUGGAGCAUGCCUGUUUGAGUGUCAUGAAUACUUCAACCCUCCUCUUUCUUAAUGAUUGAAGAGGUGUUUGGUUUCUGAGCGCUGCUGGCCUUUACGGUCUAGCUCGUUCGUAAUGCAUUAGCAUCCGCAAUCGAACUUCGGAUUGACUUGGCGUAAUAGACUAUUCGCUGAGGAAUUCUAGUCUUCGGACUAGAGCCGGGUUGGGUUAAAGGAAGCUUCUAAUCAGAAUGUCUACAUUUUAAGAUUAGAUCUCAAAUCAGGUAGGACUACCCGCUGAACUUAAGCAUAUCAAUAAGCGGAG
This 639-nucleotide ribosomal RNA is filed under the name Rhodotorula mucilaginosa. RNAcentral describes it as "eukaryotic LSU rRNA". The stretch from base 209 to 362 matches the Rfam family "5.8S ribosomal RNA". The record is from RNAcentral. Lineage: Eukaryota; Fungi; Basidiomycota; Microbotryomycetes; Sporidiobolales; Sporidiobolaceae.